GAUGAACGCUGGCGGCGUGCCUAAUACAUGCAAGUCGAGCGAACAGACGAGGAGCUUGCUCCUCUGACGUUAGCGGCGGACGGGUGAGUAACACGUGGAUAACCUACCUAUAAGACUGGGAUAACUUCGGGAAACCGGCGCUAAUACCGGAUAAUAUAUUGAACCGCAUGGUUCAAUAGUGAAAGACGGUUUUGCGGUCACUUAUAGAUGGAUCCGCGCCGCAUUAGCUAGUUGGUAAGGUAACGGCUUACCAAGGCAACGAUGCGUAGCCGACCUGAGAGGGUGAUCGGCCACACUGGAACUGAGACACGGUCCAGACUCCUACGGGAGGCAGCAGUAGGGAAUCUUCCGCAAUGGGCGAAAGCCUGACGGAGCAACGCCGCGUGAGUGAUGAAGGUCUUCGGAUCGUAAAACUCUGUUAUUAGGGAAGAACAAAUGUGUAAGUAACUAUGCACGUCUUGACGGUACCUAAUCAGAAAGCCACGGCUAACUACGUG
This 497-nucleotide ribosomal RNA is filed under the name uncultured bacterium. Its description in RNAcentral is "partial 16S ribosomal RNA". It matches the Rfam family "Bacterial small subunit ribosomal RNA", at positions 28 to 507 of the family's 1533-position model. The record is from RNAcentral.